Molecule: long non-coding RNA, 1366 nt
Organism: Drosophila nasuta
Lineage: Eukaryota; Metazoa; Arthropoda; Insecta; Diptera; Drosophilidae
Exons: 9
Source: RefSeq, a predicted model, not a curated record
GCUGAGUUUGCCAGCCGUACAACAUGGCGUAUGAAUGCGUUGCGAGUUUGUUUGACAAGCAAAAGGAAAGCAGCAGCUUUGAUUCAAUGAGCAGCUUAAUAAGCAAUCUUCAAGCAGAUCCACUUUCAACCAGUGUCAUCCUGUUGAAGGUAAACAUUAUGAUAUUCACUUGCAUUUGAUUUGAAAACAACCCCGAAAAACUGGAAAACAAACUGACAACAAAAAGUGUAGCAUACUUUUUUGGGCUUCAUAUAUUCACUUGCAUUUGAUUUGAAAACAACCCCGAAAAACUCGAAAACAAAUUGGUAACAAAAAGUGUAGCAUACUUUUUUGGGCAGCAUAUAUUCACUUGCAUUUGAUUUGAAAACAACCCCGAAAAACUCGAAAACAAAUUGGUAACAAAAAGUGUAGCAUACUUUUUUGGGCAGCAUAUAUUCACUUGCAUUUGAUUUGAAAACAACCCCGAAAAACUCGAAAACAAAUUGGUAACAAAAAGUGUAGCAUACUUUUUUGGGCAGCAUAUAAUCACUUGCAUUUGAUUUGAAAACAGCCCCGAAAAACUGGAAAACAAACUGACAAAAAGUUUAGCAUACUUUUUUGGGCAGCAUACCGGCAUCUGGCACUUGGCACUGACUUCUGCCCGAAGGAGACAAGGAGUCACAGGAGUCAGAGGAGUCGCUGGAGACGUGCAGCUGCCAGAGGCGACUCUCAGUCGCACUGACUUUGCACAAUUAAUGGCGGCCAAGCAACCGGUCGAAAUAACCAGAAGCAGGGGAAGGGGCGAAGAGGAGGAGGAUGCCUAUUAACCGGCCACGCCCCCUGCCAAUGUCGGAAGGAGCCGCGCGCAAUUAUUGCGCCAUUGUGUGAGAACCUUUGCCAAGUGUCUGUGUCACCGCUAAAUUUAACAUAAUCCUGGAACGUCGCCGACGACCCGUCGCGGUACUCGUUUAAUGCUCUCAUUUCGCCAGCUGACGCGGCAUAGCUGCUGCUGCUGUCCCAUAGGUCCUUGAAUGUCUUUGUCCUGCGAUAAAUCGCCAGCCUGAAAGUAUGCAAAGGAAAUUAUUACUUGCACUCAACUCAUCGUUAUGAAGGUAUGGAAUUCAAUUGGCAUUUCGAUUUUAAAUGGACACCCUAAAAGUAUGCAAUCCAAUUUCAAUUAUGUGCUUAAAUCAACAUCCUAAAAGUAUGCAAUAUUAUUACAUUAACAUAUUUAAAUCAUCAUACUAAAAGUAUGCACUCUCAUCUCAAUUAUGUACUUAAAUCCUCAUCCUAAAAGUAUGCCAUAUAAAAGUUCAUGCUGUCAACUUCGCAUUACCACUAUUUUUACCAUUGUUUUUUUAUGUUCAAACUUGCGUAUUAAAAAACA